GAUUUCCUUAGAGAGCUGGUGACCCACCCUGCUCAUGAUGAUGGGGAGAUUUUUUUUCCCACAGCAUAACAUUGGUCAGGUGCAAAAUCAUUUUUUUUUUCUUCCCUAGGCUCUACGGACACUGGUGAAUAUUAGCAUACUGUGCUCCAAGCUCCUGAUUUAGCAAGAACUGAUCUUCUAGAAAUGGGCCAGGCCCUUGGGUGCAACCUAGUUUUAUCGUUUACAGGAAAUUGGGACAUGGAGAAAAAGAGAGAGGAAUCUACCCGCGUUUUCAGUAAACUUACCCAAUGGGAGAAGAAGCACUUUCCCCCGUGGACCUCAUCGAAGCUCCUAGAUGGGGCCGUCCCAGGAGCUGCGAGCCUUGCUGCCCCGUGUCUGAAGAGUCAUGCAUUCUCCAGGCCUCUGUGAAGACACCAGUUUGUCCUUUGACCGUGUGCCAAAGAUGGAAAAAAAGAAGAGCUUCAGCAACUGUGAACCAGGAAAUUUUUUGUUUGUUUGUUUUUUUAAAACUAGAUUUGCCAACCUCGCCAAGAAAUGUUGUCUAA
Molecule: long non-coding RNA, 545 nt
Filed under: Ailuropoda melanoleuca (giant panda)
Lineage: Eukaryota; Metazoa; Chordata; Mammalia; Carnivora; Ursidae
Description: lncRNA (ENSAMEG00000030427.1)
Source: RNAcentral